ACCUGAAUACCAACAAGGUGUUAGAGAUUUUAUAAGAUUUGCAUAAAAAAGGGUUGAUGAUCCCAAUAGAAUCAAAUAUCCUUAUCGGAGAUGUCACAAUAACUAUUUCCAGCCUAUAGAUACAGUAUUGGAGCACUCGUUGAAUUGGGGUAUGGAUCCAAAAUAUACUAUUUGAGAUUUUUAUGGAGAAUGUAGACCUACUAAUAUAAGAGACCAA
This 217-nucleotide long non-coding RNA is filed under the name Elaeis guineensis (African oil palm). RNAcentral describes it as "long non-coding RNA (EGUI_LNC042729)". Lineage: Eukaryota; Viridiplantae; Streptophyta; Magnoliopsida; Arecales; Arecaceae. The record is from RNAcentral.